This is a long non-coding RNA of Neofelis nebulosa (Clouded leopard), 996 nucleotides long. RefSeq lists it as uncharacterized. Lineage: Eukaryota; Metazoa; Chordata; Mammalia; Carnivora; Felidae. The transcript has 6 exons. The record is from RefSeq and is a predicted model, not a curated record.
CGUCUCAGGAAGGGAGCGUUUAUCGCGGUUACCGGGCCAACUCUGGGUGCCGCUCCGACGGGGCAGGGCAGGGCACACCCUCAGCUCCUGGGAGCUGCUGGACCUAGAAGAGGCUGCUUGGCCAACCCCAGAGGCCUGCAGACAAGCGGGAGCUGGGGCGGGCUUGAAGGUCAGGUUCACCUCCUCCAGGAGCCACUGCUUCCCGCCACGAGAGCGGCUGUUUGUUCUGCUGGCCCGAGCUAAGCAGAGACUGGAGCGCAGGGAAGAGACCGGGGAAUAUGUGCCAAGCGACACGUCAGGGAAGGAAGGACCUUGCCCACGGUGACACAGCUGCUUACUGGCUGUAUUCCAUGUAGCACCCUCAUCUGCUGUGGCCAAAGCGAAGUACAGAGUUCCAGGCAGAGUUCCCACCCGUCCUGGGAACCCAAAUUUUGAUGAUUGGAACUAAGAGGGAUAUAAGAAAGCAGCCACAGGGAUGGAAUUUGGAGCUUGAUCAUUUGCCACCAGCUGGUAAGGAGGACCACACUGCAAGGGGCAUCUGGCAGAAAGAGAAGCACUGAAAUUGUCAGAGGAUCUACUCACUACAUCACUGUGGUGACCUGCAGGGAAGCGAUACACAUGGACUUCCCAACAAUGUCAAGUAGCAGGUGACUACACAAGAUGGGGGAACUUCACCACAGCCAGCUCUCCAGACCCUCCACAGCCCGCUUUGUGUGAGGGCCACCAACUGGGUGUGCUGGAGGCCAAGGAAUUGUAGCUGGACAAGUCAAGCAGGAAAGGCUCCUCUAGGAGGCCGGUGGGCCCAUUGUGGGACGUCAACAGCUGGAGUGCCUGGGACAAAGCCUGGCAAGGUACCCAUAUGAUUUUGAAAUUCAAUGGGAUGUCCACAAACAUGUGGCAGGAAUUUGACCGAAGUAAGCAUCACUGCAUCUCCCCCAGACAUGCCACUGGCUUCCAUGGAAAGCAAGUAAGAGGAAAAAGCUAGAAGUAUCGCAG